Molecule: unclassified non-coding RNA, 343 nt
Filed under: soil metagenome
Description: partial contains 5.8S ribosomal RNA, internal transcribed spacer 2, and large subunit ribosomal RNA
Rfam family: 5.8S ribosomal RNA (bases 1-120)
Source: RNAcentral
GAUGAAGAACGUAGCGAAAUGCGAUAAGUAAUGUGAAUUGCAGAAUCCAGUGAAUCAUCGAAUCUUUGAACGCACAUUGCGCCCGCCAGCAUUCUGGCGGGCAUGCCUGUUCGAGCGUCAUUUCAACCCUCGACCUCCCUUUGGGGAAGUCGGCGUUGGGGACCGGCAGCACACCGCCGGCCCUGAAAUGGAGUGGCGGCCCGUCCGCGGCGACCUCUGCGUAGUAAUCCAACUCGCACCGGAACCCCGACGCGGCCACGCCGUAAAACACCCAACUUCUGAACGUUGACCUCGAAUCAGGUAGGACUACCCGCUGAACUUAAGCAUAUCAAUAAGCGGAGAA